UACGGAGGGUGCAAGCAUUAAUCGGAUUUAUUGGGCGUAAAGGGCGCGUAGGCGGGUGUGUAAGUCAAGUGUGAAAUUCCGAAGCUCAACUUCGGAGCUGCACGUGAAACUGCAUAUCUUGAGGAGUGGCGGAGAAAAUGGAAUUCCACGUGUAGCGGUGAAAUGCGUAGAUAUGUGGAAGAACACCUGUGGCGAAAGCGGUUUUCUAGCUUAUUCCUGACGCUGAGGCGCGAGAGCAAGGGGAGCAAAC
This 250-nucleotide ribosomal RNA is filed under the name uncultured bacterium. RNAcentral's name for it is "partial 16S ribosomal RNA". It matches the Rfam family "Bacterial small subunit ribosomal RNA", at positions 524 to 773 of the family's 1533-position model. The record is from RNAcentral.